This 419-nucleotide ribosomal RNA is filed under the name uncultured bacterium. Its description in RNAcentral is "bacterial SSU rRNA". It matches the Rfam family "Bacterial small subunit ribosomal RNA", at positions 356 to 772 of the family's 1533-position model. The record is from RNAcentral.
AAGGAAUAUUGGUCAAUGGACGCAAGUCUGAACCAGCCAUGCCGCGUGAAGGAUGAAGGUCCUCUGGGUUGUAAACUUCUUUUAUAGGGGAAGAAACCUCUUGAUUCUUCGAGAGUUGACGGUACCCUAGCAAUAAGCACCGGCUAACUCCGUGCCAGCAGCCGCGGUAAUACGGAGGGUGCAAGCGUUAUCCGGAUUCACUGGGUUUAAAGGGUGCGUAGGUGGGCAGGUAAGUCAGUGGUGAAAUCCCCGAGCUUAACUCGGGAACUGCCGUUGAUACUAUCUGUCUUGAAUAUCGUGGAGGUAAGCGGAAUAUGUCAUGUAGCGGUGAAAUGCUUAGAUAUGACAUAGAACACCCAUUGCGAAGGCAGCUUACUACACGAUCAUUGACACUGAGGCACGAAAGCGUGGGGAGCAAA